CCUACGGGAGGCAGCAGUGGGGGAUAUUGCACAAUGGGGGGAACCCUGAUGCAGCGACGCCGCGUGGGUGAAGAAGCGCCUCGGCGCGUAAAGCCCUGUCAGCAGGGAAGAAAAUGACGGUACCUGAAGAAGAAGCCCCGGCUAACUACGUGCCAGCAGCCGCGGGAAUACGUAGGGGGCAAGCGUUAUCCGGAUUUCCUGGGUGUAAAGGGGGCGCAGACGGCGAUGCAAGCCAGGAGGGAAAGCCCGGGGCCCAACCCCGGGACUGCUCUUGGAACUGCGUGGCUGGAGUGCAGGAGGGGCAGGCGGAAUUCCUGGUGUAGCGGUGAAAUGCGUAGAUAUCAGGAGGAACACCGGUGGCGAAGGCGGCCUGCUGGACUGCAACUGACGUUGAGGCCCGAAAGCGUGGGGAGCAAACAGGAUUAGAUACCCCAGUAGUC
This 440-nucleotide ribosomal RNA is filed under the name uncultured bacterium. Its description in RNAcentral is "partial 16S ribosomal RNA". It matches the Rfam family "Bacterial small subunit ribosomal RNA", at positions 338 to 795 of the family's 1533-position model. The record is from RNAcentral.